Suncus etruscus (white-toothed pygmy shrew) is the source of this 107-nucleotide small nuclear RNA. The record is from RefSeq and is a predicted model, not a curated record. Lineage: Eukaryota; Metazoa; Chordata; Mammalia; Eulipotyphla; Soricidae.
GUGCUUGCUUCGGCAGCACAUAUACUAAAAUUGGAACGAUACAGAGAAAAUUAGCAUGGCCCCUGUGUGAGGUUAGCAUGCAAAUUUUUGAAGUGUUCCAUAUUUAA